This 253-nucleotide ribosomal RNA is filed under the name uncultured bacterium. RNAcentral describes it as "partial 16S ribosomal RNA". It matches the Rfam family "Bacterial small subunit ribosomal RNA", at positions 524 to 776 of the family's 1533-position model. The record is from RNAcentral.
UACGGAGGAUGCAAGCGUUAUCCGGAUUUAUUGGGCGUAAAGCGUCUGUAGGUGGUUUGAUAAGUCUCGUGUUAAAUCCUAGGGCUUAACCCUAGAAUGGCAUUGGAAACUAUCAAGCUUGAGUUCGGUAGGGGUAGAGGGAAUUCCCAGUGUAGCGGUGAAAUGCGUAGAUAUUGGGAAGAACACUUAUGGCGAAAGCACUCUACUAGGCCGAUACUGACACUCAGAGACGAAAGCUAGGGUAGCAAACGGG